RNAcentral lists this unclassified non-coding RNA (397 nucleotides) under soil metagenome. Its description in RNAcentral is "partial contains 5.8S ribosomal RNA, internal transcribed spacer 2, and large subunit ribosomal RNA". The stretch from base 1 to 120 matches the Rfam family "5.8S ribosomal RNA", at positions 35 to 154 of the family's 154-position model. The record is from RNAcentral.
GAUGAAGAACGUAGCGAAAUGCGAUAAGUAGUGUGAAUUGCAGAAUUCAGUGAAUCAUCGAAUCUUUGAACGCACAUUGCGCCUCCUGGCAUUCCGGGAGGCAUGCCUGUUCGAGCGUCAUCAAACCCCAUCGUGCAAAUGAAUUAUUUUUUUUGCGCGGAAGUGACGAUUGAGCGAGAAUAACAAAUCCUCUCGCACCUCGUCGAAAUGAUUGCGGGCGGAAUUUGGGAUCGGGUUCCUCGGCGUAGUGUAUCAAUGCAUAUUUAUGCAACUUGCCGCGGAGUUGAGCCUGACCCACGCGUUCUCGCCGUACAAACACCUCAUUACUUUACAAGUUUUUGACCUCGGAUCAGGUAGGGAUACCCGCUGAACUUAAGCAUAUCAAUAAGCGGAGGGA